This is a non-coding RNA of Selaginella moellendorffii, 73 nucleotides long. The record is from Rfam. Lineage: Eukaryota; Viridiplantae; Streptophyta; Lycopodiopsida; Selaginellales; Selaginellaceae.
GCCCUCAUCGUCUAGUGGCCCAGGACACCUCUCUUUCAAGGAGGCGACGGGGAUUCAAAUUCCCCUGAGGGUA